This 810-nucleotide long non-coding RNA is filed under the name Salmo salar (Atlantic salmon). RNAcentral's name for it is "lncRNA (ENSSSAG00000117093.1)". Lineage: Eukaryota; Metazoa; Chordata; Actinopteri; Salmoniformes; Salmonidae. The record is from RNAcentral.
GUUGCUGCCCAGACCGACUCUUUCCCCGCCUCAGACCCACAGAUCGCUGCCUCUUGCACGAAGGGAGGUGUUCCCGCCAUCAGAUUGGUUAUAUAACCAUCCCACGCCAUGAUUCAACUGCACUGAUGAAUAUAUACACCUAUAAACUAGGGGGAGAAGAGAGGUGGACGAGAGGGAGAGAGGAGAGGGAGAGAGGUGGGGUGGACGAGAGGGAGAGAGGUGAAGGAGAGAGGUGGGGGGUGGACGAGAGGGAGAGAGGUGGGGUGGACGAGAGGGAGAGAGGUGGGGUGGAAGAGAGGGAGAGAGGUGGGGUGGAAGAGAGGGAGAGAGGUGAGGUGGAAGAGAGGGGGAGAGGUGAGGUGGAGGAGAGAGGGAGAGAGAUGAGGUGGAGGAGAGAGGGAGAGAGAUGGGGUGGAAGAGAGAUGAGGUGGGAGAGAGGGGGAGAGGUGAGGUGGAGGAGAGAGGGAGAGAGGUGAGGUGGGAGAGAGGGGGAGAGGUGAGGUGGAGGAGAGAGGGAGAGAGAUGAGGUGGAGGAGAGAGGGAGAGAGGUGAGGUGGAGGAGAGAGGGGGAGAGGUGAGGUGGAGGAGAGAGGGAGAGAGAUGAGGUGGAGGAGAGAGGGAGAGAGGUGAGAUGGACGAGAGAAACCAACAUCCUUAACAUUCAACAUCCCGAGGCUACUGCAUUAAAAUCUUGCACAGUGUGAGUCAAAAGGUAGAAUGCAACACAAAUCACCACGGAUAACAAAUAGUCAUAAAGACGUGAAGGCCGAUGUGGAGAACUAUAAAGGUCUUACCUGAGCGGCUCGCAGG